Molecule: small nucleolar RNA, 131 nt
Filed under: Erinaceus europaeus (western European hedgehog)
Lineage: Eukaryota; Metazoa; Chordata; Mammalia; Eulipotyphla; Erinaceidae
Description: Small nucleolar RNA SNORA41 (ENSEEUG00000023146.1)
Source: RNAcentral
CUCCCCAGCCCCUCUGCUACUCUUCUUUGGUAGCAAGUUGUACUAUUUCUCUGAGGGGAAGAUACUGUUACACUAUUUAUAUUGCUCUCUUUUAGUACAACAGAAAGAGGGUGUAUGUAUAACAAGGUGGG